RNA transcript from Papaver somniferum (opium poppy), 1927 nucleotides. RefSeq lists it as uncharacterized. The transcript has 4 exons. The record is from RefSeq and is a predicted model, not a curated record. Lineage: Eukaryota; Viridiplantae; Streptophyta; Magnoliopsida; Ranunculales; Papaveraceae.
CUCCAAGUUCAUAUCGAAACUGCUCCAUCUUCUUCUUCAGUCCACCACCAUCACCAUCCACAAAUUUUGGUAUUGAUUAUUAUCUCGAACCUGUGAGUGACGCAUAGAUUUAAAACAAGAAAAUAGAGACAAAUCUGUUUCUGAAGAUGAUUGAUUUCAAGAGUUUGAUGGAUUUCUGAAGUUGAAUGAAGAACAGAAAGGGGACUUGGUGCGGAUUCAAAUUGUUUGAGUGAUGCUGAUGUCGAAUUGAAGAAAGAGGAAAGAGGGAAUUGCUGAUUGUUAAAAGAAAUUAGGGUUUGAGUUGUGAUGAUUCUGUAAUCGAGACAGAGAUGGAGAUCGAGAACAUGAGUUGAAGUUCUGAGAUGAAAGAAUAAUUGGGUCUGUGAAACUGAAUUUGGUGGUGAUCUAGGUCAGAUGAAGAUUGAGAUGUUACAGGGAAGAUGGAGACUGGAAGGAAGAGAAGAUGAACUGUUGGUCUUGGUAACUGGUUAUGCAGUUGAGAGUUAAUAGGUGGAAUUGGCACUGGUGGUAUAGAAACAGAACUGAAAUGGUUAAUUAAGUGUGAAAUGGCAAUGAGAUUCUAGCUGCUGGUGAUGACUGAGCAGAUACAGGAAAGUAUGGUUAUUUGCAGUCGAAUUGAAGCUGAGAAUAAAUGGUUAUGAAGCUACAGAGUAAUUGACUGAGCAGGUGUUGGUCCAUAUGGAUUCUCAGAAUUACAAGGAAUUUGGCCUUGUUCUGAAAAUUCAGUAAGUGGGCAUCUGUGAGAUGAACUGUAUCUUGUGCAUUCUCCGGUGCUCACUGGAAGGAACUUUGAAGGAAUUCUCAUGCUUUUGUUUUGGCAUUAUUAUGGAAUACAAUAUUAAUGCCAAAAUGUAGUUUCUUUUGUAAAACCGAAUGCAAUAUUUACUGGCUUUAUUUUGUUCUUGAAUUUUCAGUACACCAGUAACCUAUCAAGGUUUCAGGAUAAUUGUUACAUCUGUAUCAUGUUCAUAAUGCUCUUAUGAGCUAUUGAACCAUCUACUUAGUUGUAUUUAUUUCGCCUGAGCAGAGCAUUUCAAGAAUGGAUACAUCUCCGAGUUCCGUUGUCAUCGAUCCCAGACUGUUCACAGGAAUAUCUGCUAUUACAGCAACGACUUAUGACAAUGAUGAUGAGUUCUCCAAAUGGCAGGAGGAGGUUAGGAAAGCGGAACUCGAAGCUGAGGCUUUGAAGCAUGGCUCAAAAUUAAAUGAUGUUGGUGGGUCAGAUCACUUGAAAGACUUGGAGGGGGGUGUUGACGAAAGGCCUUCCACACCACCUGAUGGCGAGGAAGAAUUCACUGAUGAUGAUGGAAACUGUGUACAAGUGGGACAGAGGUCUUAGACUUAGAGCAUGGGUUCCCCAAAGAACUGUCGAAGAAAGCACAAAAAGCAAAUAAUAUGUGGUGGCGUCUGAGUGGAGUUCUAGGUGAUCAGAAUCGUAUGCUCAUGUAUAUCCUAUUCCAAGCUGCAUUCACAGUUGCCACAAUGCCUUUAACUGUGCCAAUAUUUUUGUCUUACAAAUUGCAUGUGAUUUUCCAAAUACUCAAAGUCUCAGCAUCUAUAUGGAAUGGAGGAAGCUUUUUAUUAGAGGUGAUGCCCAGGCAAGUCAUAAUCAAGGAGAAGAAGAAACUCGAAAUGCUGCCAUUACCAGUCCAACCUGAUCAGCCUGCUACUGUCUCAACCUAAAUUCCCACAGAAACUAACGGCUUCACAGAGUCCGACAACCAGUCAGAAUAGCCUUGUAUAAAAGAAAAUGACUUGUAAAAUUUCGUUUUCGCUACUGCUAGAAAAGUUUAGUUAGUACACCUAUGACUGAUAUCUUGGGAUUUAGGAUUUUGAGGUGUGGAAAGUUUAGUUUUGAACUCGAGCAGUAGAAAUCAAAUAACAGCAUAUCAAAUCUCCUUUACAA